AGCGAUCUUUAGGAGCUUGCUCCUGAAGGUUAGCGGCGGACGGGUGAGUAACACGUGGGCAACCUGCCUAUAAGACUGGGAUAACUUCGGGAAACCGGAGCUAAUACCGGAUAAUCCUUUUCCUCUCAUGAGGGAAAGCUGAAAGACGGUUUCGGCUGUCACUUAUAGAUGGGCCCGCGGCGCAUUAGCUAGUUGGUGAGGUAACGGCUCACCAAGGCGACGAUGCGUAGCCGACCUGAGAGGGUGAUCGGCCACACUGGGGCUGAGACACGGCCCAGACUCCUACGGGAGGCAGCAGUAGGGAAUCUUCCGCAAUGGACGAAAGUCUGACGGAGCCACGCCCCGUGAGCGAUGAAGGCCUUCCGGUCGUAAAGCUCUGUUGUUAGGGAAGAACAAGUAUCGGAGUAACUGCCGGUACCUUGACGGUACCUAACCAGAAAGCCACGGCUAACUACGUGCCAGCAGCCGCGGGGAUACCUAUGUGGCCAGCGUUGUCCGGAAUUAUUGGGCGUAAAGCGCGCGGAGGCGGUCCUUUAAGUCUGAUGUGAAAGCCCACGGGGUCAACCCUGGAGGGUAAUUGGAAACUGGGGGGACUUGAG
Molecule: ribosomal RNA, 599 nt
Filed under: uncultured bacterium
Lineage: Bacteria
Description: bacterial SSU rRNA
Rfam family: Bacterial small subunit ribosomal RNA
Source: RNAcentral